RNAcentral lists this ribosomal RNA (423 nucleotides) under uncultured bacterium. RNAcentral's name for it is "partial 16S ribosomal RNA". It matches the Rfam family "Bacterial small subunit ribosomal RNA", at positions 359 to 774 of the family's 1533-position model. The record is from RNAcentral.
GAAUUUUGGACAAUGGGCGAAAGCCUGAUCCAGCAAUGCCGCGUGCAGGAUGAAGGCCUUCGGGGUGUAAACUGCUUUUGUACGGAACGAAAAGCUUUGGGUUCAUACCCUGGAGUCAUGACGGGACCGUAAGAAUAAGCACCGGCGCACGACGUGCCAGCAGCCCCGGUAAUACGUAGGGUUCAAGCGGUAAUCGGAAGUACUGGGCGUAAAGCGGGCGCAGGCGGUUUUGUAAGACAGAGGUGAAAUCCCCGGGCUCAACCUGGGAACUGCCUUUGUGACUGCAAGGCUAUAGUACGGCAGAGGGGGGUGGAAUUCCGCGUGUAGCAGUGAAAUGCGUAGAUAUGCGGAGGAACACCGAUGGCGAAGGCAACCCCCUGGGCCUGUACUGACGCUCAUGCACGAAAGCGUGGGGAGCAAACA